UACUCGAGUGGCGAACGGGUGAGUAACACGUGGGUGAUCUGCCCUGCACUUCGGGAUAAGCUUUGGAAACUGGGUCUAAUACCGGAUAGGAGCCAUCUUUAGUGUGGUGGUUGGAAAGUUUUUUCGGUGUAGGAUGAGCUCGCGGCCUAUCAGCUUGUUGGUGGGGUAAUGGCCUACCAAGGCGGCGACGGGUAGCCGGCCUGAGAGGGUGUACGGCCACAUUUGGACUGAGAUACGGCCCAG
RNAcentral lists this ribosomal RNA (243 nucleotides) under uncultured Actinomycetales bacterium. Its description in RNAcentral is "partial 16S ribosomal RNA". It matches the Rfam family "Bacterial small subunit ribosomal RNA", at positions 88 to 334 of the family's 1533-position model. Lineage: Bacteria; Bacillati; Actinomycetota; Actinomycetes; Actinomycetales. The record is from RNAcentral.